This 492-nucleotide ribosomal RNA is filed under the name uncultured bacterium. Its description in RNAcentral is "partial 16S ribosomal RNA". It matches the Rfam family "Bacterial small subunit ribosomal RNA", at positions 29 to 507 of the family's 1533-position model. The record is from RNAcentral.
AGUGAACGCUGGCGGUAGGCCUAACACAUGCAAGUCGAACGGCAGCACAGUAAGAGCUUGCUCUUACGGGUGGCGAGUGGCGGACGGGUGAGGAAUACAUCGGAAUCUACUUUUUCGUGGGGGAUAACGUAGGGAAACUUACGCUAAUACCGCAUACGACCUACGGGUGAAAGCAGGGGAUCCUCGGACCCUGCGCGAUUGAAUGAGCCGAUGUCGGAUUAGCUAGUUGGCGGGGUAAAGGCCCACCAAGGCGACGAUCCGUAGCUGGUCUGAGAGGAUGAUCAGCCACACUGGAACUGAGACACGGUCCAGACUCCUACGGGAGGCAGCAGUGGGGAAUAUUGGACAAUGGGCGCAAGCCUGAUCCAGCCAUACCGCGUGGGUGAAGAAGGCCUUCGGGUUGUAAAGCCCUUUUGUUGGGAAAGAAAAGCAGCAGGUUAAUACCCCGCUGUUCUGACGGUACCCAAAGAAUAAGCACCGGCUAACUUCGUG